RNAcentral lists this long non-coding RNA (567 nucleotides) under Coturnix japonica (Japanese quail). RNAcentral describes it as "lncRNA (ENSCJPG00005001897.1)". Lineage: Eukaryota; Metazoa; Chordata; Aves; Galliformes; Phasianidae. The record is from RNAcentral.
AUUAAGCAAAAGCAGGCUAUGGAAGAGCUCCAAGUCACAGGCUAGCAGCUCUUUGAGUUCAUGCUGCUUUAGGAUAAAAAAAACCUCUAUUCCAUGUUGUUUUGAAGAGGGCUAUCCAGGAGAAUCCAAAGUGAAGCCCAGGAGUGAAAUCAAAAUUAAGCACGCAGUAAAAAGUUUCAAUACUCAAAUGAGAAUUUUGGUUCUUUUUUCUGAAGCAGUAAAGGUAAUGAUUUGUUAAGCAGUAAGGACAUGCCCUUUAAUUCCUAGGCAAAGGUGCCAGAGGAUACUGGGAUGAAAAACUGCAUUACUAUGAUGCGAGAUCUGUCUGCAUCUAUGCAUUGUCCCAAGAGGCUAAGGACUGGAUACCUCUGAAUGUGCAACACUACAUACAAAGGAUCCUUGAAGGUGGCCGAGGUCAUCACAGCAGACUGCAAACUGAUUGAAGCCUCUGAGGAGUUGCUCAGGACAUGGAUGCCAUUUUCUAAAGUUUUUCUAUGUACAUUUGCAAGCAGAGUGGUAAAUCUUGCCUUCGUUAUGAAGAAAAGAAUGGGGAUGGGAGUGAAAUAG